RNAcentral lists this signal recognition particle RNA (96 nucleotides) under Paracoccaceae bacterium. RNAcentral describes it as "Rhodobacteraceae bacterium signal recognition particle sRNA small type". It matches the Rfam family "Bacterial small signal recognition particle RNA". Rfam says of the family: The signal recognition particle (SRP) is a universally conserved ribonucleoprotein involved in the co-translational targeting of proteins to membranes. Archaeal SRP consists of a 7S RNA and homologues of the eukaryotic SRP19 and SRP54 proteins. Lineage: Bacteria; Pseudomonadati; Pseudomonadota; Alphaproteobacteria; Rhodobacterales; Paracoccaceae. The record is from RNAcentral.
GAGAGAUUGGUAUGGACGAGCUACUCGCCAAUCCGGUCAGGUCUGAAAGGAAGCAGCCGUAACGAGCUCAGCUUGGGUCAUGUCCAAUCUCUCACU